GUCUAACUGCAUGUGCUCAUUCUCCUAAUCCAUUUACACUUUGUGCACAUAGCUUUUUGAAGGGAGGGUAGAACCUGCCUUCGAAAUUUACAAGCUCUUAUCUGUGAUUAUGAAUGUUUGACUGCCGCAAGGCAAAAUUUAAUACAACUUUUAACAACGGAUCUCUUGGCUCUCGCAUCGAUGAAGAACGCAGCGAAAUGCGAUAAGUAAUGUGAAUUGCAGAAUUCAGUGAAUCAUCGAAUCUUUGAACGCACCUUGCGCUCCCUGGUAUUCCGGGGAGCACGCCUGUUCGAGUGUCAUGAAACUCUCAAACAAGAUAGAUUUGUUUCUGUCUUUGUUUGGAUUUGGACUUUGCUGUGUCAAUGCAGCUGGUCUUAAAUGUAUUAGCUGGUCCUGAUGAAGGUUUGGUUCUACUCAGCGUGAUAAUUAUCUAACGUUGAGGACAGUCUCCGGACUGGCCAGGCUCUCUUUGGAUUGCUUCUAAUCAUCUUAGGAUAAUUGCUUAAUAUCUGACCUCGAAUCAGGUGGGACUACCCGCUGAACUUAAGCA
Molecule: ribosomal RNA, 550 nt
Filed under: uncultured Sistotrema
Lineage: Eukaryota; Fungi; Basidiomycota; Agaricomycetes; Corticiales; Corticiaceae
Description: eukaryotic LSU rRNA
Rfam family: 5.8S ribosomal RNA (bases 146-299)
Source: RNAcentral